Molecule: long non-coding RNA, 1194 nt
Filed under: Homo sapiens (human)
Lineage: Eukaryota; Metazoa; Chordata; Mammalia; Primates; Hominidae
Description: HSALNT0082774
Source: RNAcentral
CCAAAGUGCUGGGAUUACAGGCGUGAGCCACCGCGCCCGGCCGAGGUCGUUAUGAUUAUUAUUAUCCCUGCCUUACAGGGGUAGAGAGGUCACUUGUAUGUGAUGUCAGCACCUCUGCUAUCCUUCCUAAUGUCUUGCUCUUUGGACUUGUGGACUCACAUGGAUCUUGGAUUAUCGGAAUGACAGGCCAAGAAUGCACUUCUCUCUCCUACCCCUUUGUGAAGAAGGACGUGCUUGCUUCCCCUUCAGCCAUGAUUAAGAUUCUGGGAUCCCAAAUGUGUGAGGAUUUUUUCCCAAUGGCAAGCAAACAAUCAAUUCUGCAGCAGACACCAGUUAAAAUACAAAAAGAAGAAACCCGGUGUUCAAAAACAAUUUCAGAACUCAAAUUUACAUUUCCCCUGGAACAAUGAAGCUGCCAUCAUCCUGAAAAGUAUUUUCCUGGAACAAUGAAGCUGCCAUCAUCCUGAAAAGUAUUUUCACAGGAAAAAAAGGAAGACAGGCAGGCAGCCAGCCAUGUGUGUCCUCUCUUCUUCUUUAUCACCAAGAAUGACUGGGAGCUAGAGCAGCAAUGUUGAUGGGCAUUGAUCUGUUUCAGAAACAUCUCAAGGACUGAGAAAUGACUUCGGGCAUUCCCUUUUCAAAAGAUGCUAUCUCAUUUCCUUACUAAAGAGAUGAGAAAAAGGGUGGAAAUUGAGAGAUGCAAGGUAAGAGCUCAAAUAAUGUGAAUUAAGUCUGAAGGAGAUUUUUUUUCCCCUCCUAUGAGGUAUUUACUAGCUGAUAAUCCUGCAGUGAAAGAAUAUCCAACCAGUGAGAGUUAGGAAAAAAUAUGGAUUGUUGAUUUGGAAGGAGACUAAUAAACUAUCCCUGCCAUAAUUUUUUUUCAUUUUACACCCCCUUAAAAUAACUAAGAAAAAUAUUACUUUUAUAAAACACUGCAGUGAACACAGCCCUGGAAUUCUGGUAUUAUAACAACUUUCAGGUGGAGGCAUAAAGUGAUAUUCCAAAAUGUUAAAAAUCAUCAAUACGAGUAAAAAUCUGACUUUGAAUAUUGGACUGCAGUGUUAUUACUUCCUCUUGGUGGUGUGUUUCCAAUUUUAGGGACUGUGGGGGAAAGACAAGCUGCGUACAUACAUGCAUUCUCCCAAUAUCAGCCCCAUUUAUUUGGAUGGAUCUAAUGAUAUUACUUUCAAACUU